Molecule: ribosomal RNA, 259 nt
Filed under: uncultured prokaryote
Description: partial 16S ribosomal RNA
Rfam family: Bacterial small subunit ribosomal RNA
Source: RNAcentral
UACGGAGGAUGCGAGCGUUAUCCGGAUUUAUUGGGUUUAAAGGGUGCGUAGGCGGCUUUUUAAGUCAGCGGUGAAAUUUUGCAGCUUAACUGUAACAGUGCCGUUGAUACUGGGGAGCUAGGAUUUGGUUGCUGUGGGUGGAAUGUGUGGUGUAGCGGUGAAAUGCUUAGAGAUCACACAGAAUAUCGAUUGCGAAGGCAGCUCACAAAGCCAAGAUUGACGCUGAGGCACGAAAGUGUGGGGAGCAAACAGGAUUAGA